GACGAACGCUGGCGGCGUGCUUAACACAUGCAAGUCGAACGGCGAAGGGGAGCUUGCUCCCUGGAUCAGUGGCGAACGGGUGAGUAACACGUGGGCAACCUGCCCCUGACUUCGGGAUAACGCUUCGAAAGAGGUGCUAAUACCGGAUAUGAACCCUGAGGGCAUCCUCGGGGUUGGAAAGUUUUUCGGUCAGGGAUGGGCCCGCGGCCUAUCAGCUUGUUGGUGAGGUAGUGGCUCACCAAGGCGACGACGGGUAGCCGGCCUGAGAGGGCGACCGGCCACACUGGGACUGAGACACGGCCCAGACUCCUACGGGAGGCAGCAGUGGGGAAUAUUGCGCAAUGGGCGAAAGCCUGACGCAGCAACGCCGCGUGAGGGUUGAAGGCCUUCGGGUUGUAAACCUCUUUCAGCAGGGAAGAAGCGAAAGUGACGGUACCUGCAGAAGAAGCACCGGCUAACUACGUGCCAGCCGCCGCAGUAA
RNAcentral lists this ribosomal RNA (481 nucleotides) under uncultured bacterium. RNAcentral's name for it is "partial 16S ribosomal RNA". It matches the Rfam family "Bacterial small subunit ribosomal RNA", at positions 28 to 523 of the family's 1533-position model. The record is from RNAcentral.